AGUCGAGGGGAAACGACAUCGAAAGCUUGCUUUUGAUGGGCGUCGACCGGCGCACGGGUGAGUAACGCGUAUCCAACCUGCCCACCACUUGGGGAUAACCUUGCGAAAGUAAGACUAAUACCCAAUGACGUCUCUAGAAGACAUCUGAAGGAGAUUAAAGAUUUAUCGGUGAUGGAUGGGGAUGCGUCUGAUUAGCUUGUUGGCGGGGUAACGGCCCACCAAGGCGACGAUCAGUAGGGGUUCUGAGAGGAAGGUCCCCCACAUUGGAACUGAGACACGGUCCAAACUCCUACGGGAGGCAGCAGUGAGGAAUAUUGGUCAAUGGACGAGAGUCUGAACCAGCCAAGUAGCGUGCAGGAUGACGGCCCUAUGGGUUGUAAACUGCUUUUAUAAGGGAAUAAAGUGAGUCUCGUGAGACUUUUUGCAUGUACCUUAUGAAUAAGGACCGGCUAAUUCCGUGCCAGCAGCCGCGGUAAUACGGAAGGUCCGGGCGUUAUCCGGAUUUAUUGGGUUUAAAGGGAGCGUAGGCCGGAGAUUAAGCGUGUUGUGAAAUGUAGAUGCUCAACAUCUGAACUGCAGCGCGAACUGGUUUCCUUGAGUACGCACAAAGUGGGCGGAAUUCGUGGUGUAGCGGUGAAAUGCUUAGAUAUCACGAAGAACUCCGAUUGCGAAGGCAGCUCACUGGAGCGCAACUGACGCUGAAGCUCGAAAGUGCGGGUAUCGAACAGGAUUAGAUACCCUGGUAGUCCGCACGGUAAACGAUGGAUGCCCGCUGUUGGUCUGAAUAGGUCAGCGGCCAAGCGAAAGCAUUAAGCAUCCCACCUGGGGAGUACGCCGGCAACGGUGAAACUCAAAGGAAUUGACGGGGGCCCGCACAAGCGGAGGAACAUGUGGUUUAAUUCGAUGAUAC
RNAcentral lists this ribosomal RNA (910 nucleotides) under uncultured bacterium. RNAcentral describes it as "bacterial SSU rRNA". It matches the Rfam family "Bacterial small subunit ribosomal RNA", at positions 60 to 960 of the family's 1533-position model. The record is from RNAcentral.